CCUUACUACUUGGAUAACCGUGGUAAUUCUAGAGCUAAUACAUGCAAAAAGCCCCGACUUCGGGAGGGGCGUAUUUAUUAGAUAAAAAACCAACGCCCUCCGGGGCUCCUUGGUGAUUCAUGAUAACUUAUCGGAUCGCAUGGCCCUUGCGCCGGCGACGGUUCAUUCAAAUUUCUGCCCUAUCAACUUUCGAUGGUAAGGUAUUGGCUUACCAUGGUUUCAACGGGUAACGGGGAAUUGGUUCGAUUCCGGAGAAGGAGCCUGAGAGACGGCUACUACAUCCAAGGAAGGCAGCAGGCGCGCAAAUUGCCCAAUCCCGACACGGGGAGGCAGUGACAAUACGUACUGAUAUUGGGCUCUUUUGGGUCUAAUAAUCGGAAUGAGUACAAUCUAAAUCCAAUAACGAGGAACCAUCGGAGGGCAAGUCUGGUGCCAGCAGCCGCGGUAAUUCCAGCUCCAAUAGCGUAUAUUAAAGUUGCUGCAGUUAAAAAGCUCGUAGUUGAACCUUGGGUCCGGCCUCCCGGUCCGCCUCACCGCGUGCAUUGGGUUGGCCGGGCCUUUCCUUCUGGAGAACCGUAUGCCCUUUACUGGGCGUGCGUGGGAACCAGGACUUUUACUUUGAAAAAAUUAGAGUGUUCAAAGCAGGCCUCCGCUCGAAUACGUUAGCAUGGGAUAAUAGAAUAGGACGUGCGGUCCUAUUUUGUUGGUUUCUAGGACCGCCGUAAUGAUUAAUAGGGAUAGUCGGGGGCAUCAGUAUUCAAUUGUCAGAGGUGAAAUUCUUGGAUUUAUUGAAGACUAACUACUGCGAAAGCAUUUGCCAAGGAUGUUUUCAUUAAUCAGUGAACGAAAGUUAGGGGAUCGAAGACGAUCAGAUACCGUCGUAGUCUUAACCGUAAACUAUGCCGACUAGGGAUCGGGCGAUGUUUCUAUAUUGACUCGCUC
Molecule: ribosomal RNA, 942 nt
Filed under: Pseudocoleodictyospora sukhothaiensis
Lineage: Eukaryota; Fungi; Ascomycota; Dothideomycetes; Pleosporales
Also listed under: 1 other name
Description: SSU rRNA
Rfam family: Eukaryotic small subunit ribosomal RNA
Source: RNAcentral